Molecule: ribosomal RNA, 814 nt
Filed under: Ganoderma lucidum
Lineage: Eukaryota; Fungi; Basidiomycota; Agaricomycetes; Polyporales; Polyporaceae
Description: eukaryotic LSU rRNA
Rfam family: Eukaryotic large subunit ribosomal RNA
Source: RNAcentral
ACUUAAGCAUAUCAAUAAGCGGAGGAAAAGAAACUAACAAGGAUUCCCCUAGUAACUGCGAGUGAAGCGGGAAAAGCUCAAAUUUAAAAUCUGGCGGUCUUUGGCCGUCCGAGUUGUAGUCUGGAGAAGUGCUUUCCGCGCUGGACCGUGUAUAAGUCUCUUGGAACAGAGCGUCAUAGAGGGUGAGAAUCCCGUCUUUGACACGGACUACCAGUGCUUUGUGAUGCGCUCUCAAAGAGUCGAGUUGUUUGGGAAUGCAGCUCAAAAUGGGUGGUGAAUUCCAUCUAAAGCUAAAUAUUGGCGAGAGACCGAUAGCGAACAAGUACCGUGAGGGAAAGAUGAAAAGCACUUUGGAAAGAGAGUUAAACAGUACGUGAAAUUGCUGAAAGGGAAACGCUUGAAGUCAGUCGCGUCGUCCGGAACUCAGCCUUGCUUUUGCUUGGUGCACUUUCCGGAUGACGGGUCAGCAUCGAUUUUGACCGUCGGAAAAGGGCUAGAGUAAUGUGGCACCUCCGGGUGUGUUAUAGACUCUGGUCGCAUACGGCGGUUGGGAUCGAGGAACGCAGCGCGCCGCAAGGCAGGGGUUCGCCCACUUUCGCGCUUAGGAUGCUGGCAUAAUGGCUUUAAACGACCCGUCUUGAAACACGGACCAAGGAGUCUAACAUACCUGCGAGUGUUGGGGUGGGAAAAAAGGCUGGCGAACGCACAGCAAGGUUUCUGGGCUUGUGUAUUCGCUCACUUUCGAAAACUUGACCUCAAAUCAGGUAGGACUACCCGCUGAACUUAAGCAUAUCAAUAAGCGGAGGAAAAGAAA